AGAGUAAUUCAAAAUUUAUAUUACGUCCGUUUAUCAGGUAAAUAUUGAAAACGGAGAAAAAUGUACAGUGUGUACGAACCUUUUUUUUCGGUUCGUAAACAUCUCGGAUGAUUUGUACAUAUUUUUUUAUUUUAUUUUUUUUUUUUUACCGUACUCUCCCCCUUAUUGAACUAGAAAGUGGAAUAACUCGUCAACGUGUGUUGACGGCAAUCAAAAAUUUGAACAACGAAAAUUCGAUUUAAUCUAUAACACUACGUCAUUUGAAUUUCAAAAGUUGAAACCGGCCAAAACCCUUGAACAAAGGCAGUAAAAA
Non-coding RNA from Cinara cedri, 313 nucleotides. Lineage: Eukaryota; Metazoa; Arthropoda; Insecta; Hemiptera; Aphididae. The record is from the annotation of a GenBank genome assembly.